AACGAACGCUGGCGGCGUGCCUAACACAUGCAAGUCGAGCGGGAAAGUUCCCUUCGGGGAGCGAGUACAGCGGCGAACGGGUGAGUAACACGUAGGUAACCUACCCCGGAGACCGGGAUAACCUGUCGAAAGGCGGGCUAAUACCGGAUAAGACCACGAGGGCUGCGGCCCUUGGGGUAAAAGAUGGCCUCUGCUUGCAUGCUAGUACUCCGAGAUGGGCCUGCGCACCAUUAGCUAGUUGGUGAGGUAACGGCUCACCAAGGCUGAGAUGGUUAGCUGGUCUGAGAGGAUGAUCAGCCACACUGGGACUGAGACACGGCCCAGACUCCUACGGGUGGCAG
RNAcentral lists this ribosomal RNA (341 nucleotides) under uncultured Pseudomonadota bacterium. RNAcentral's name for it is "bacterial SSU rRNA". It matches the Rfam family "Bacterial small subunit ribosomal RNA", at positions 29 to 351 of the family's 1533-position model. Lineage: Bacteria; Pseudomonadati; Pseudomonadota. The record is from RNAcentral.